ACUGAUCAUUCUUGUUUCUUUUCCAGUGACCUUGAGCCUGAGUGGUUGGAUAGUGUGCAGAAAAAUGGAGAAUUAUUUUAUUUAGAAUUUAGUGAAAGUGAAGAAGAAAUUCUGCUUCAGAACAGCUGUCCAGAAAUGCCAGCAGUGAAUCAUGUCAGGUUUCGUGAAAAUGAAGCUGAAAUUAUUCAGGAGGGAUCACGAAAGGAAAGGAAGUAUGAACUGAAGAAAUGGACCAAAAUGCUAAAAAAGAAGAGUCUUUUACCAAAGGGUUCUGGUAAGAAAGGCAGUGGAACCUGCAAUGUUCUCCCCUCAGGUCCUACUUCCAUAUUGAAACACCGGUCUCCUCAGAAAAUGGGUGUCCCUGUUCAGCAAAAGUACAAAGAUGUGUCUGUUUAUGUAAAUCCCAGAAAACUCUACAGCGCUGAGGAAGAAGAGCAGCAGAGGCUGCUGGAGGCCUUGGUAGGGAUUGUCCAUCAGUCUUCAUGGAGCAGCAAAAGAGUGGAAAAACAAGGCAGGAGGGAUAAAGCCACCAGAGGAGUCAGUGAAGAGAAGCUUGUGGUACAUGGCUUGGUGCCAGGUAGUUCUGCAAUGAAAACAGGUCAAAUCCUGAUUGGAGAUGUUCUUGUUGCUGUAAAUGAUGUCGAUGUGAAUUCUGAAAACAUAGAGAGGGUUUUGUCUUGCAUUCCAGGUCCUAUGCAGGUUAAACUGACAUUUGAAACCUCGGUAUUUGAGCCUGAAGGAACUUCUGAGCAAAGGAACAAACAGACACAGUCAAGUAUGAACAACCUGGUUCGGCUCCUGUGGGGAGGGGACAGUGUGGACCUUCAGCAGGCUGCGCAGGACGUGCCUCACAUUGUCAUGUUCCUCACGCUGAAACUGGACUCUGAGACAUCCAAGGAUGAGCAAGAAAUUAUUUAUCAGUACCCCAUAUCUGAAGCAUCCCAAAAACUGAAAAGUGUGAGAGGGAUAUUUCUCACACUGUCUGACAUACUGGAAAGUGUUACUGGUACCGAGAUUAUCAGUUCCUCCCUUUUCUUAUGUGAAAAACUGGUUCAAGUUGUUUACUGGAAAGAAUCCGACAAGUUGCUUGUAAUUGGCCUUCCUGAAGAAAAUGUCCCACUUUCUCAUCUGAGGAACAUGAUUCAAGAUGUUGUCAGGACCUUGACAUUCAUGUACAGUUCUUUGGAUAGUGCUUUUUGCCAGGUGGAAAAUGUUUCUCGCCUGGAUCACUUUUUCAACCUGUUCUUCCAGCGUGCCCUUCAUCCUGCGAGGCUGCAGCAGCAGGAUUCCUGCAGUGCCCUGUUCCUGGACAGCCUCCCAGGCCUGCGCUGGCUGACACUGCCUCAGGAAAUCAAGGUCAGCUCCUUCUCACACCUCUCCAGGAAACCUGGGCAUGACAGGCCAAAAAGUCAAUACUAUUACGACAUGAGAAGAUUAUAUGUGAUCCUGGGCUCUUGUCUCUUUUACAAGGGUUACUUGAUUGGCAAUCACUUGCCAAAGGAAGACCUUCUUGAUGUGGGUCUCUACUGCCGGCACUACUGCCUGUUACCCCUGGCAGCAGAGCAGAGGAUUGGGCAGUUGGUGAUUUGGAGGGAGGUGUUCCCACAGCACCACCUCCAGCCCUGUGAGGAGGCAAGUCUGACAGGAUACAGGGAACCUGAAGCAAGAUACUUCCUACUGAUAGUUGGCUUGAGACACUUCGUCCUGUGUGUCCUGCUGGAGGCAGGGGGCUGUGCAUCCAGAGCUGUUGGGAAUCCAGGACCAGACUGUAUCUAUGUAGACCAGGUCAAAGCAACCAUACUGCAGCUGGAGGGAAUAGACGCCAGCAUAGAGGAAAGGCUGGACUCUCCCUCCAUCCCACCUGUAGCCUGUGCUGACUGGUUCCUUCCUGCAGCACGGGACAGACUGGAGGGCUUGAGCAAGCUGCAGAACUCCUGCAAAGCUGUGAGCAGUGCAGGGAGCAAGAGGAGCCUCUUUGGGGACAGCUGCCACAGCACACGGACGCAGAGCCCCCCGAGGAGCAGCGGGGCAGCCGAGCAGGGCGGCCAAGGGCCCGCCCAGGAGGAGAGCUCCAACCCACAGCCUGUGGGGGAGCAGGUCAGGCAACACGGGCACAGAGAACUGAUGAGCAGUUGUACAACUCCUUCUAACCAAGUUAAUUCUAGUUUAAUUCAAGCCACCAGAAAAAAACACAUCCUGCCAAACCCAUUUCAUUCAGGAAACCUUAAAAAGAACCCUUCAGAGAAAGAUACAGAACUUCUUAAUGCUAUCAAGUUGACAUCUGGUCCUGAGAAUACCCUCUUCCACUAUCUGUCUUUGGAGACAAUGCAAGGAAUUUUUAUUACUCCAACUCACAAAGAAGUAGCACAGCUUGGUGGCUCCAUCCACCCUCAGUUAAUUGAGAAUUUCUACCAGUGCUGCCUUUCAAUUCGUUCCAUUUUCCAGCAGUCCAUGAGGAAAGAGAAAAAGAAAAAGGCAGGGAGUGGGAUUUCAGAAUUUAGUAAGGCAGCUGAGGACCCAGGUCUGGUAAGAGAACAUGGACUUCUGUUUGAGUGCUCUCCUGAAAACUGGACUGACCAGAAGAAACCACCACCAACAAUGAACUACUGGGUUGUGGGGAGACUCAUUCUCCAUCCCAAACCUCAGGAGUGUUACGUGUGUUUCCAUGACUCAGUGACAGAAGCUGCUGUGGAACUGGCUUUUAAACUGUCCUUUGGCUUAGCUGCAUAG
Molecule: long non-coding RNA, 2730 nt
Organism: Ficedula albicollis (Collared flycatcher)
Lineage: Eukaryota; Metazoa; Chordata; Aves; Passeriformes; Muscicapidae
Source: Ensembl